This 492-nucleotide ribosomal RNA is filed under the name uncultured bacterium. RNAcentral's name for it is "partial 16S ribosomal RNA". It matches the Rfam family "Bacterial small subunit ribosomal RNA", at positions 29 to 507 of the family's 1533-position model. The record is from RNAcentral.
AGUGAACGCUGGCGGUAGGCUUAACACAUGCAAGUCGAACGGCAGCACAGUAAGAGCUUGCUCUUCCGGGUGGCGAGUGGCGGACGGGUGAGGAAUAUAUCGGAAUCUACUUUUUCGUGGGGGAUAACGUAGGGAAACUUACGCUAAUACCGCAUACGCCCUACGGGUGUAAGCAGGGGAUCUUCGGACCUUGCGCGGUUGAAUGAGCCGAUGUCGGGUUUGCUAGUUGGCGGGGUAAAGGCCCACCAAGGCGACGAUCCGUAGCUGGUCUGAGAGGAUGGUCGUCGACACUGGAGGUGAGACACGUUCACGAGUCCUACGGGAGGGACCAGUGGGGUAUAGUGGGCAAUAGGGGCAACCCUGAUGCACUCGUACCGCGUGUGUGGAGGAACCACUCGGGUUGUAAAGCCGGUUUGUUGGGAGUAAAAAGCAGCAGGUUAUUACCCCGCUGCUCUGACGGUACUCGAAGAAGAAGCACCGGCUAACUUCGUG